UCGGCCACACAAAGAAGAAUGAUCCUGCCC
RNAcentral lists this non-coding RNA (30 nucleotides) under Homo sapiens (human). The record is from RNAcentral. Lineage: Eukaryota; Metazoa; Chordata; Mammalia; Primates; Hominidae.